Molecule: long non-coding RNA, 208 nt
Filed under: Salvia miltiorrhiza (redroot sage)
Lineage: Eukaryota; Viridiplantae; Streptophyta; Magnoliopsida; Lamiales; Lamiaceae
Description: long non-coding RNA (SMIL_LNC010290)
Source: RNAcentral
UUCCUCAAGUCAAUAUUUGCCAAGCUUAAACCUCAUCUUACUUGCUAUAGAACUUAGUAUUUCAUAAUCAUCAUUAUGCUCCAAAUUUGAUAUGAGAUCAAAGANUUUUUUUUUUUGAUCGAAAAACAGAACUAUAUUAAGGAGAAAAAUGGUACCAGAGGUACCGAACAAUAGCCUUACAUCAGUUUACAAAGAAUAUCAUAAUCAC